GACGAACGCUGGCGGCGUGCUUAACACAUGCAAGUCGAACGGAAAGGCCCUGCUUUCGUGGGGUGCUCGAGUGGCGAACGGGUGAGUAACACGUGAGUAACCUGCCCUUGACUUUGGGAUAACUUCAGGAAACUGGGGCUAAUACCGGAUAGGAGCUCCUGCUGCAUGGUGGGGGUUGGAAAGUUUCGGCGGUUGGGGAUGGACUCGCGGCUUAUCAGCUUGCUGGUGGGGUAGUGGCUUACCAAGGCUUUGACGGGUAGCCGGCCUGAGAGGGUGACCGGCCACAUUGGGACUGCGAUACGGCCCAGUCUCCUACGGUAGGCAGCAGUGGGGAAUAUUGCACAAUGGGCGGGAGCCUGAUGCAGCAACGCCGCGUGCGGGAUGACGGCCUUCGGGUAGUAAACCGCUUUCGCCUGUGACGAAGCGUGAGUGACGGUAAUGGGUAAAGAAGCACCGGCUAACUACGUG
Molecule: ribosomal RNA, 468 nt
Filed under: uncultured bacterium
Lineage: Bacteria
Description: partial 16S ribosomal RNA
Rfam family: Bacterial small subunit ribosomal RNA
Source: RNAcentral